This 433-nucleotide ribosomal RNA is filed under the name uncultured bacterium. Its description in RNAcentral is "partial 16S ribosomal RNA". It matches the Rfam family "Bacterial small subunit ribosomal RNA", at positions 29 to 507 of the family's 1533-position model. The record is from RNAcentral.
AACGAACGCUGGCGGCAGGCCUAACACAUGCCAGUCGAGCGCGCCCUUCGGGGUGAGCGGCGGACGGGUGAGUAACGCGUGGGAACGUGCCCUUUUCUACGGAAUAGCCUCGGGAAACUGAGAGUAAUACCGUAUACGCCCUUUGGGGGAAAGAUUUAUCGGAAAAGGAUCGGCCCGCGUUGGAUUAGGUAGUUGGUAGGGUAAUGGCCUACCAAGCCGACGAUCCAUAGCUGGUUUGAGAGGAUGAUCAGCCACACUGGGACUGAGGCACGGCCCAGACUCCUACGGGAGGCAGCAGUGGGGAAUCUUAGACAAUGGGGGCAACCCUGAUCGAGCCAUGCCGCGUGAGUGAUGAAGGCCUUAGGGUUGUAAAGCUCUUUCAGCUGGGAAGAUAAUGACGGUACCAGCAGAAGAAGCCCCGGCUAACUCCGUG